CCUACGGGAGGCAGCAGUGAGGAAUAUUGGUCAAUGGACGAGAGUCUGAACCAGCCAAGUAGCGUGAAGGAUGACUGCCCUAUGGGUUGUAAACUUCUUUUAUAUGGGAAUAAAAUGUUCCACGUGUGGGAUUUUGUAUGUACCAUAUGAAUAAGGAUCGGCUAACGCCGUGCCAGCAGCCGCGGUAAUACGGAGGAUCCGAGCGUUAUCCGGAUUUAUUGGGGUUAAAGGGAGCGUAGGUGGAAUGUUAAGUCAGUUGUGAAAGUUUGCGGCUCAACCGUAAAAUUGCAGUUGAAACUGGCAGUCUUGAGUACAGUAGAGGUGGGCGGAAUGCGUGGUGUAGCGGUGAAAUGCUUAGAUAUCACGAAGAACUCCGAUUGCGAAGGCAGUUCACUGGACUGCAACUGACACUGAGGCUCGAAAGUGUGGGUAUCAAACAGGAUUAGAUACCCCAGUAGUC
This 460-nucleotide ribosomal RNA is filed under the name uncultured bacterium. RNAcentral describes it as "partial 16S ribosomal RNA". It matches the Rfam family "Bacterial small subunit ribosomal RNA", at positions 338 to 795 of the family's 1533-position model. The record is from RNAcentral.